This 235-nucleotide ribosomal RNA is filed under the name uncultured bacterium. Its description in RNAcentral is "partial 16S ribosomal RNA". It matches the Rfam family "Bacterial small subunit ribosomal RNA", at positions 96 to 334 of the family's 1533-position model. The record is from RNAcentral.
UGGCGGACGGGUGAGUAAUGUCUGGGAAACUGCCCGAUGGAGGGGGAUAACUACUGGAAACGGUAGUUAAUACCGCAUAACGUCGCAAGGCCAAAGAGGGGGACCUUCGGGCCUCUUGCCAUCGGAUGUGCCCAGAUGGGAUUAGCUAGUAGGUGGGGUAACGGCUCACCUAGGCGACGAUCCCUAGCUGGUCUGAGAGGAUGACCAGCCACACUGGAACUGAGACACGGUCCAG